GUAAUGUCUGGGAAACUGCCUGAUGGAGGGGGAUAACUACUGGAAACGGUGGCUAAUACCGCAUAACGUCGCAAGACCAAAGAGGGGGACCUUCGGGCCUCUUGCCAUCAGAUGUGCCCAGAUGGGAUUAGCUAGUUGGUGAGGUAACGGCUCACCAAGGCGACGAUCCCUAGCUGGUCUGAGAGGAUGACCAGCCACACUGGAACUGAGACACGGUCCAGACUCCUACGGGAGGCAGCAGUGGGGAAUAUUGCACAAUGGGCGCAAGCCUGAUGCAGCCAUGCCGCGUGUAUGAAGAAGGCCUUCGGGUUGUAAAGUACUUUCAGCGGGGAGGAAGGUGUUGUGGUUAAUAACCGCAGCAAUUGACGUUACCCGCAGAAGAAGCACCGGCUAACUCCGUGCCAGCAGCCGCGGUAAUACGGAGGGUGCAAGCGUUAAUCGGAAUUACUGGGCGUAAAGCGCACGCAGGCGGUCUGUCAAGUCGGAUGUGAAAUCCCCGGGCUCAACCUGGGAACUGCAUUCGAAACUGGCAGGCUUGAGUCUUGUAGAGGGGGGUAGAAUUCCAGGUGUAGCGGUGAAAUGCGUAGAGAUCUGGAGGAAUACCGGUGGCGAAGGCGGCCCCCUGGACAAAGACUGACGCUCAGGUGCGAAAGCGUGGGGAGCAAACAGGAUUAGAUACCCUGGUAGUCCACGCCGUAAACGAUGUCUACUUGGAGGUUGUGCCCUUGAGGCGUGGCUUCCGGAGCUAACGCGUUAAGUAGACCGCCUGGGGAGUACGGCCGCAAGGUUAAAACUCAAAUGAAUUGACGGGGGCCCGCACAAGCGGUGGAGCAUGUGGUUUAAUUCGAUGCAACGCGAAGAACCUUACCUGGUCUUGACAUCCACGGAAGUUUUCAGAGAUGAGAAUGUGCCUUCGGGAACCGUGAGACAGGUGCUGCAUGGCUGUCGUCAGCUCGUGUUGUGAAAUGUUGGGUUAAGUCCCGCAACGAGCGCAACCCUUAUCCUUUGUUGCCAGCGGUCCGGCCGGGAACUCAAAGGAGACUGCCAGUGAUAAACUGGAGGAAGGUGGGGAUGACGUCAAGUCAUCAUGGCCCUUACGACCAGGGCUACACACGUGCUACAAUGGCGCAUACAAAGAGAAGCGACCUCGCGAGAGCAAGCGGACCUCAUAAAGUGCGUCGUAGUCCGGAUUGGAGUCUGCAACUCGACUCCAUGAAGUCGGAAUCGCUAGUAAUCGUGGAUCAGAAUGCCACGGUGAAUACGUUCCCGGGCCUUGUACACACCGCCCGUCACACCAUGGGAGUGGGUUGCAAAAGAAGUAGGUAGCUUAACCUUCGGGAGGGCGCUUACCACUUUGUGAUUCAUGACUGGGGUGAAGUCGUAACAAGGUAACCGUAGGGGAACCUGC
Molecule: ribosomal RNA, 1408 nt
Filed under: Salmonella enterica subsp. enterica serovar Kiambu
Lineage: Bacteria; Pseudomonadati; Pseudomonadota; Gammaproteobacteria; Enterobacterales; Enterobacteriaceae
Description: bacterial SSU rRNA
Rfam family: Bacterial small subunit ribosomal RNA
Source: RNAcentral